RNAcentral lists this transfer RNA (72 nucleotides) under Plasmopara halstedii. It matches the Rfam family "tRNA". From Rfam's summary of the family: Transfer RNA (tRNA) molecules are approximately 80 nucleotides in length. Their secondary structure includes four short double-helical elements and three loops (D, anti-codon, and T loops). Lineage: Eukaryota; Oomycota; Peronosporomycetes; Peronosporales; Peronosporaceae. The record is from Rfam by way of RNAcentral.
GCCUGUGUGGCUCAGUGCAAGAGCAUGUGUCUUGUAAACAGAAGGUCCCAGGUCUUAUCCCGGGCAGAGGCA